RNAcentral lists this ribosomal RNA (497 nucleotides) under uncultured bacterium. RNAcentral's name for it is "partial 16S ribosomal RNA". It matches the Rfam family "Bacterial small subunit ribosomal RNA", at positions 28 to 507 of the family's 1533-position model. The record is from RNAcentral.
GAUGAACGCUGGCGGCGUGCCUAAUACAUGCCAGUCGAGCGAACGGACGAGAAGCUUGCUUCUCUGAUGUUAGCGGCGGACGGGUGAGUAACACGUGGAUAACCUACCUAUAAGACUGGGAUAACUUCGGGAAACCGGAGCUAAUACCGGAUAAUAUUUUGAACCGCAUGGUUCAAAAGUGAAAGACGGUCUUGCUGUCACUUAUAGAUGGAUCCGCGCUGCAUUAGCUAGUUGGUAAGGUAACGGCUUACCAAGGCAACGAUGCAUAGCCGACCUGAGAGGGUGAUCGGCCACACUGGAACUGAGACACGGUCCAGACUCCUACGGGAGGUAGCAGUAGGGAAUCUUCCGCAAUGGGCGAAAGCCUGACGGAGCAACGCCGCGUGAGUGAUGAAGGUCUUCGGAUCGUAAAACUCUGUUAUUAGGGAAGAACAUAUGUGUAAGUAACUGUGCACAUCUUGACGGUACCUAAUCAGAAAGCCACGGCUAACUACGUG